GUGAGGAAUUUUCCGCAAUGGGCGAAAGCCUGACGGAGCAAUGCCGCGUGAAGGAUGAAGGCCUAUGGGUUGUAAACUUCUUUUCUCAGAAAAGAAUUAUGACGGUAUCUGAGGAAUAAGCAUCGGCUAACUCUGUGCCAGCAGCCGCGGUAAGACAGAGGAUGCAAGCGUUAUCCGGAAUGAUUGGGCGUAAAGCGUCUGUAGGUUGUUUAAAAAGUAUUCUGUCAAAGAUUAGGGCUUAACCCUAGAUAGGCAGAAUAAACUUUUAAGCUAGAGUUUGGUAGAGGCAGAGGGAAUUCCCGGUGGAGCGGUGAAAUGCGUAGAUAUCGGGAGGAACACCAAAGGCGAAGGCACACUGCUGGGCCAAUACUAACACUGAGAGACGAAAGCGAGGGGAGCAAAUGGGAUUAGAAACCCGAGUAGUCC
RNAcentral lists this ribosomal RNA (426 nucleotides) under uncultured bacterium. Its description in RNAcentral is "partial 16S ribosomal RNA". It matches the Rfam family "Bacterial small subunit ribosomal RNA", at positions 354 to 796 of the family's 1533-position model. The record is from RNAcentral.